This 546-nucleotide long non-coding RNA is filed under the name Spirodela polyrhiza (greater duckweed). RNAcentral describes it as "long non-coding RNA (SPOL_LNC000882)". The record is from RNAcentral. Lineage: Eukaryota; Viridiplantae; Streptophyta; Magnoliopsida; Alismatales; Araceae.
AGAGAGGGGUGUGGAUUGCGGUGGCGGUGGCGCGCCUCGCCGAGGUGGAUGGGGAGAGGAGGGAGAAGUAGAUCUCACGGGCAACUGCGUCUCCUCCAGGCCCGGCCUUGGAAGCUCGCGGGUCGACGGGGAAGUGAUGAGGCGGAGGAAGCCCCGGCGGCGUCGUUGUAGCUGAGAUUGGGGAGGAAGCGCCGGAGACUGGAUGAGCCUAGCUGCGUCGUUCUCCAUGAAGCACCAACCGCAGGGAUCGACGGCCGCGUCGGCGGCUGCGGAGGGAUCCUUCGUGGGGGAGCCGGAUGGGGACGCCCUGCGGCGGUGGGUGCUGGCCUUCUGCGUCAUCAGGUUCGACCUGGAGCAAGGGCAGGUGGUGGAGGAGUGCUACCCACCGGGGGCUCUCCCUCCGUCCGAUGAGCUCUGCGUCGCAUUUAGCUCCUUCCCCGAUUCCAUGUCUCACCACCAGCACCGCAGCCGGUCCAGCAUCCACGACUCCAUCUUCUUCUUCCGCAUUCGCUCCGCCUCUGCGUCGGCCUCCGGCGGCUUCUUGUA